CAGCCGCCGCGGUAAUACCGGCGGCCCGAGUGGCGGUCACUAUUAUUGGGCUUAAAACGUCCGUAGCCGGGUUGGGAAGUCCUCCGGGAAAUCUGGCCGCUUAACGGUCAGAAUGCCGGAGGAUACUCCCAGCCUAGGGAGCGGGAGAGGCCGAGGGGAUUCCCGGAGGAGGGGUGAAAUCCUAUAAUCCCGGGAGGACCACCUGUGGCGAAGGCGCUCGGCUGGAACGCGUCCGACGGUGAGGGACGAAGGCCAGGGGAGCAAACCGGAUUAGAUACCCGGGUAGUCCUGGCUGUAAACGAUGCGGACUUUGUGUCGGACAAGCUAUGAGCUUGUCCGGUGCCGGAGGGAAACCGUUAAGUCCGCCGCCUGGGGAGUACGGCCGCAAGGCUGAAACUUAAAGGAAUUGGCGGG
Molecule: ribosomal RNA, 414 nt
Filed under: uncultured microorganism
Description: bacterial SSU rRNA
Rfam family: Archaeal small subunit ribosomal RNA
Source: RNAcentral